This is a long non-coding RNA of Seriola aureovittata, 1540 nucleotides long. RefSeq lists it as uncharacterized. The record is from RefSeq and is a predicted model, not a curated record. NCBI's taxonomy places the organism in Eukaryota, Metazoa, Chordata, Actinopteri, Carangiformes, Carangidae. The transcript is spliced from 2 exons.
ACAAGUGGGGUGCACUUUGGACCUCAAACACACACACACACACACACACACACACACACACACACACACACACACACACAAACACACAGCCUUUCCUUCAGAUCAAUACAAUUAUUACAGUGUCCCUGCAGUAUAGAGGGUGUGUAGUGAAGCCCCUCUAACACAAUCAUGCGCUCUGAAAAUGAGCUUCUCUCCGCUCGUUCAAUCAGCGCUGUGUCUGUGGACUCCAAGUGAUGCCGGCCAAGUGGAAUAUGUGCGCAGACUGAGAACGACCGCCCCUGUCUGCGAAGAGGGAGAGAGAGAGGUAUGGAAGGAUGGAGAGAGGGAGGGGAGGGAGGACAGAGGAUUACACAGAGAUGCGCUCAAGCCUCACAGCUCCGUACUGAACAGGUUGUCAAAAAGAGCAGCGGUGCUUCACUCCACUCAUUCUCACCUCCCGCUCUCCCAGUCUCUCUGAAAACAGGUUUCAACUGUUUCGGGUUCGGCAAGGUUUCUUCCAGGAGUCAGAGGAGGAGUGGCGUUGGUUUUCGUGUUCCUCUCUAUUGUCCACUCUAUGAUGGAGUUCGCCAGCUGCGGUGCCACCGAUCCGCCUGUGCCAAUUAGAAGUGAAAGGAGGCUCCCAAAGUUUUAGGCCUAAUGGAGGGGCUCCGUGGACCAAUUAUUUAUGACAGCAAAAACAGACUGACUGUUGACCCCCCCGUCUCUCUCUCUCUCCUAUCUUAUCUCUCUCUCACACACACAUAUUAGGAGCCGUACUUCUCCCCUCUUAUGUAUUUCUCCACUCCUUUGCCGGCGAUUUUUACUUCCCAUUGUGGCCACGUGGGGGCGUGUUUCAGCUCAUCACUAAUAUCGGGAUGUGUGUGUGUGUGUGUGUGUGUGUGUGUGUGUGUGUGUGUGUGUGUGUGUGUGUGUGUGUGUGUUGAUGGGGUCUGAAAUCAGCGUCCUUUGUAAAGGGCCCUUGUAUUUCUGGCCUCUCCACGAGAGAUGCUGGUUCAUCACAAAGCGGUGACUCUGUGUGCAGCUGGAUAGAGUGAAGCAAACACUUAAAAUAUCAAACAGCCUGUUUAUCAGAGUAGAGCAAGCAAUCUGUUAUAUUGGAUCUGGAUAUUCAGUGCCUUUAUUUAUACAUGCAGUGCAGUUGUUAUAUGUUACUUUUUUUCAUAAGGAUUACUGUCUUAAUUUUAAAAAAAAAAGGUUGUUUAAUUAUGUGAUGAUAUAUAUUUCUUUCUUUCUUUAUUUUUGUUUUUACCCAUAUCUGUUAAGAACAAAAUGUCUCUUUAUCUAGUUACACAAAGAGUGGGUGAUAAUAACAAGAUGUUGAAGAAAGAAUGUCUUCGUAAAGAGAAAGUUACUACUAGAAAUAAUAAAAAACUUUAGCACAGCAGUCGGUGUAGUCAUGAGGAUUAUGGUUGAAUCCUUGAAAACAGAAAGAUAUUGAACUGUCCAGUUUCAUUUUGUCCAACUCAUUUAAUGCAUGGCUAGUUUUCCUUAUUCAAAUACUUCUGUGUGACAAAGAAAUAAAUCCAGAUUUUGACCUUGA